This 407-nucleotide ribosomal RNA is filed under the name uncultured bacterium. Its description in RNAcentral is "partial 16S ribosomal RNA". It matches the Rfam family "Bacterial small subunit ribosomal RNA", at positions 28 to 526 of the family's 1533-position model. The record is from RNAcentral.
GACGAACGCUGGCGGCGUGCCUAAUACAUGCAAGUAGGACGCAGUUGCGAACGGGUGAGUAACGCGUAGGUCACUCCCUCUUAGAGGGGGAUAACUAUUGGAGACGAUAGCUAAUACCGCAUACUCGUAGAUGGACCUGCGUUGUAUUAUCUAGUAGGUAGGGUAAUGGCCUACCUAGGCAACGAUACAUAGCCGACCUGAGAGGGUGAGCGGCCACACUGGGACUGAGACACGGCCCAGACUCCUACGGGAGGCAGCAGUAGGGAUUCUGCGGCAAUGGGGGGAACCCUGACCGGGCAACGCCGCGGGAGUGAAGAAGUUUUUCGGAGCGUAAAGCUCUGUUGUUAAGGAAGCGGUACUUAACCAGAAAGGGACGGCUAACUACGUGCCAGCAGCCGCGGUAAUAC